AUUGAACGCUGGCGGCGUGCCUAACACAUGCAAGUCGUGCGAGAAAGUCCGCUUCGGUGGACGAGUAGAGCGGCGCACGGGUGAGUAACGCGUGGAUAAUCUGCCUGGAAGAUCGGGAUAACAGCGGGAAACUGCUGCUAAUACCGGAUACGCUUCAUGCGAAUGUAUGAGGGAAAGGUGGCCUCUGCUUGCAAGCUACCACUUCCAGAUGAGUCCGCGUCCCAUUAGCUAGUUGGCGGGGUAAUGGCCCACCAAGGCGACGAUGGGUAGCUGGGCUGAGAGGAUGAUCAGCCACACUGGGACUGAAACACGGUCCAGACUCCUACGGGAGGCAGCAGUGGGGAAUAUUGCGCAAUGGGGGAAACCCUGACGCAGCGACGCCGCGUGUGGGAAGAAGGCCUUCGGGUCGUAAACCACUGUCAAGAGGGAAGAACCGCAUGGGGUCGAAUAGGCCUCGUGCCUGACGGUACCUCUGGAGGAAGCACCGGCUAACUCCGUGCCAGCCGCCGCGGUAA
Molecule: ribosomal RNA, 515 nt
Filed under: uncultured bacterium
Lineage: Bacteria
Description: partial 16S ribosomal RNA
Rfam family: Bacterial small subunit ribosomal RNA
Source: RNAcentral